RNAcentral lists this ribosomal RNA (1357 nucleotides) under metagenome. Its description in RNAcentral is "bacterial SSU rRNA". It matches the Rfam family "Bacterial small subunit ribosomal RNA", at positions 147 to 1498 of the family's 1533-position model. The record is from RNAcentral.
CGUAGCGAAAGUUACGCUAAUACCGCAUAUUCUGUGAGCAGGAAAGCAGGGGAUCGCAAGACCUUGCGCUGAUUGAGCGGCCGAUAUCAGAUUAGCUAGUUGGUGAGGUAAAGGCUCACCAAGGCGACGAUCUGUAGCGGGUCUGAGAGGAUGAUCCCCCACACUGGAACUGAGACACGGUCCAGACUCCUACGGGAGGCAGCAGUGGGGAAUUUUGGACAAUGGGGGCAACCCUGAUCCAGCCAUGCCGCGUGAGUGAAGAAGGCCUUCGGGUUGUAAAGCUCUUUCAGCCGGGAAGAAAUCACAUGGGUUAAUACCCUGUGUGGAUGACGGUACCGGAAUAAGAAGCACCGGCUAACUACGUGCCAGCAGCCGCGGUAAUACGUAGGGUGCGAGCGUUAAUCGGAAUUACUGGGCGUAAAGCGUGCGCAGGCGGUUUGUUAAGAUAGGCGUGAAAUCCCCGGGCUCAACCUGGGAACUGCGUUUAUGACUGGCAGGCUAGAGUAUGGCAGAGGGGGGUGGAAUUCCACGUGUAGCAGUGAAAUGCGUAGAGAUGUGGAGGAACACCGAUGGCGAAGGCAGCCCCCUGGGCCAAUACUGACGCUCAUGCACGAAAGCGUGGGUAGCAAACAGGAUUAGAUACCCUGGUAGUCCACGCCCUAAACGAUGUCAACUAGGUGUUGGGUGGGUAAAACCAUUUAGUACCGGAGCUAACGCGUGAAGUUGACCGCCUGGGGAGUACGGCCGCAAGGUUAAAACUCAAAGGAAUUGACGGGGACCCGCACAAGCGGUGGAUGAUGUGGAUUAAUACGAUGCAACGCGAAAAACCUUACCUACCCUUGACAUGUCCAGAAGCUCUUAGAGAUUUGAGUGUGCCCGAAAGGGAACUGGAACACAGGUGCUGCAUGGCUGUCGUCAGCUCGUGUCGUGAGAUGUUGGGUUAAGUCCCGCAACGAGCGCAACCCUUGUCGUUAAUUGCCAUCAUUUAGUUGGGCACUUUAACGAGACUGCCGGUGACAAACCGGAGGAAGGUGGGGAUGACGUCAAGUCCUCAUGGCCCUUAUGGGUAGGGCUUCACACGUCAUACAAUGGUCGGUACAAAGGGUUGCCAACCCGCGAGGGGGAGCUAAUCCCAGAAAGCCGAUCGUAGUCCGGAUCGUAGGCUGCAACUCGCCUGCGUGAAGUCGGAAUCGCUAGUAAUCGUGGAUCAGCAUGUCACGGUGAAUACGUUCCCGGGUCUUGUACACACCGCCCGUCACACCAUGGGAGCGGGUUCCGCCAGAAGUAGGUAGCCUAACCGCAAGGAGGGCGCUUACCACGGCGGGGUUCGUGACUGGGGUGAAGUCGUAACAAGGUA